GAAAGUAAUAAAGGGCGUAUGGGGGAUGCCUAGGCUCUUGGAGGCGACGAAAGACGUGGUAAGCUGCGAUAAGCCUCGGGGAUUUGCAAACGAGAAUUGAUCCGAGGAUUUCUGAAUGGGACAACCCGGCAGGCAGAAGGCCUGUCACACGAAAGUGGGCCAACCCUCUGAACUGAAACAUCUUAGUAGGAGGAGGAAAAGAAAGAAACAUCGAUUUCCUAAGUAGCGGCGAGCGAACGGGAAGAAGCCUAAACCAUACUUGUUACGGCAAUUAUGGGGUUGUAGGACUGCAAUAUUCAAGUGACUGUCAACUGGAAUGUUCUGGAAAGUUCAUCCGCAGAGAGUGAAAGACUCGUACAGGUAAGCACGUUAUGCGAUAGCAGUAUCCUGAGUAGGGCGGGACACGAGGAAUCCUGUCUGAAUCUGCCGGGACCACCCGGUAAGGCUAAAUACUCCCAAGAGACCGAUAGUGAACCAGUACCGUGAGGGAAAGGUGAAAAGAACCCCGAACAGGGGAGUGAAAUAGAACCUGAAACCAUACGCUUACAACCUGUCGGAGCAGCUUCGUGCUGUGACGGCGUGCCUAUUGAAUAAUGAGCCUACGAGUUACUAAUCACUGGCGAGGUUAAGUGCACGGAUGCACGGAGCCGAAGCGAAAGCGAGUCUUAAUAGGGCGUUUAGUCAGUGGUUGUAGACGCGAAACCUUGCGAUCUACCCUUGAGCAGGUUGAAGGUUGGGUAAAACCAACUGGAGGACCGAACGAAUAAGCGUUGAAAAGCUUCUCGAUGACUUGAGGGUAGGGGUGAAAGGCUAAUCAAGCUGGGAAAUAGCUCGUACUCCCCGAAAUGCCUUUUGGGGCAGCGUUGUAAUAAAGAGUCUACUGGAGGUAGAGCUACUGAUUGGAUGCGGGGGCUUCACCGCCUACCAAAUCCUGACAAACUCCGAAUGCCAGUAGUAUGAUUUACAGCAGUGAGUGACUGGGUGCUAAUGUCCAGUCGCAAAAGAGGAACAACUCAGACCAGCAACUAAGGUCCCGAAGAAUAUGCUAAGUUGAUCUAACGAUGUUUUGUUGCAGAGACAGCUAGGAUGUUAGCUUGGAAGCAGCUAUUCAUUCAAAGAGUGCGUAACAGCUCACUAGUCGAGCGACAGAGCGUGGAUAAUAAACGGGCAUCAAGCAUAUCACCGAAGUUCUGGGCGCGAGAGCGCGGUAGGGGAGCAUUCCAUUCAGCGUCGAAGCAGUUUCGUGAGGAAUUGUGGAGCGUAUGGAAAAGCAAAUGUAGGCAUGAGUAACGAUAAUGCGGGAGAGUAACCCGCACACCGCAAGACCAAGGUUUCCUGAUCAACGCUAAUCGGAUCAGGGUUAGUCGGGUCCUAAGGGUAAGCCGAACGGCGAUCUCGAUGGAUAAUCGGUUAAUAUUCCGAUACUAACAUAUACCUCGAUGGAGAGACGAAGGAACGUAAGUGCCGCCACCUGACGGAAUAGGUGGUUAAAGGGCGUAGAUAUAGGGGCAGAUUAAGAGUUAGUCCUUGCUGAAACCUGACAGUACAGAGAGCCUACGGGCAAUUUGAUAGUGCACCCAAGUCGACUUCCGAGAAAAUCUUCUAAGUUAUAGUAUAUGUUACCCGUACCGUAAACCGACACAGGUGGUCGAGGAGAGUAUCCUAAGGUGCUCGAGUGAAUCACGGUUAAGGAACUAGGCAAAUUAACCCCGUAACUUCGGGAAAAGGGGUCCCUAUGAAAGUAGGGCGCAGCGAAGAGGUCCAGGCGACUGUUUAUCAAAAACACAGGGCUCUGCAAAUUCGAAAGAAGACGUAUAGGGCCUGACACCUGCCCGGUGCUGGAAGGUUAAGAGGGGAUGUCAUCGCAAGAGAAGCAUUGAAUCGAAGCCCCAGUAAACGGCGGCCGUAACUAUAACGGUCCUAAGGUAGCGAAAUUCCUUGUCGGGUAAGUUCCGACCUGCACGAAUGG
RNAcentral lists this ribosomal RNA (1969 nucleotides) under human gut metagenome. Its description in RNAcentral is "bacterial LSU rRNA". It matches the Rfam family "Bacterial large subunit ribosomal RNA", at positions 1 to 1999 of the family's 2925-position model. The record is from RNAcentral.